ACGGCUCAGUAACACGUGGAUAACCUGCCCUGCGGUGGGAAAUAACCCCGGGAAACUGGGGAUAAUGUCCCAUAGGCUACGGAUGCUGGAAUGCUCUGUAGCUCAAAGAUUUAUCGCCACAGGAUGGGUCUGCGGCCGAUUAGGUAGUUGUUGGGGUAACGGCCCAACAAGCCUUUGAUCGGUACGGGUUGUGGGAGCAAGAGCCCGGAGAUGGAUUCUGAGACACGAAUCCAGGCCCUACGGGGCGCAGCAGGCGCGAAAACUUUACAAUGCGGGAAACCGUGAUAAGGGAACUCCGAGUGUCCGUAAAUGCGGACUGUCCGUAUGUUUAAAAAGCAUGCGAAGAAAGGGCCGGGCAAGACCGGUGCCAGCCGCCGCGGUAAUACCGGCGGCUCGAGUGGUGGCCACUAUUACUGGGCUUAAAGCGUUCGUAGCUGGGUUGUUAAGUCUCUUGGGAAAUCUACCGGCUUAACCGAUAGGCGUCCAAGGGAUACUGGCAAUCUAGGGACCGGGAGAGGUGAGGGGUACUUCAGGGGUAGGAGUGAAAUCCUGUAAUCCUUGGGGGACCACCUGUGGCGUAGGCGCCUCACCAGAACGGCUCCGACAGUGAGGGACGAAAGCUGGGGGAGCAAACCGGAUUAGAUACCCGGGUAGUCCCAGCCGUAAACGAUGCGCGUUAGGUGUAUCGAUGACCACGAGUCAUCGAGGUGCCGAAGGGAAACCGUGAAACGCGCCGCCUGGGAAGUACGGUCGCAAGGCUGAAACUUAAAGGAAUUGGCGGGGGAGCAC
RNAcentral lists this ribosomal RNA (789 nucleotides) under uncultured archaeon. Its description in RNAcentral is "bacterial SSU rRNA". It matches the Rfam family "Archaeal small subunit ribosomal RNA", at positions 85 to 879 of the family's 1478-position model. The record is from RNAcentral.